GGCCCAGUACUUCAGAGGAUAGAAACCGCUCUGCCAAAGCGGAAGUCGGGGGUUCGAGUCCCCCCUGGGCCA
This 72-nucleotide transfer RNA is filed under the name Caldilineaceae bacterium. Its description in RNAcentral is "tRNA-Gly". It matches the Rfam family "tRNA". Rfam says of the family: Transfer RNA (tRNA) molecules are approximately 80 nucleotides in length. Their secondary structure includes four short double-helical elements and three loops (D, anti-codon, and T loops). Further hydrogen bonds mediate the characteristic L-shaped molecular structure. tRNAs have two regions of fundamental functional importance: the anti-codon, which is responsible for specific mRNA codon recognition, and the 3' end, to which the tRNAs corresponding amino acid is attached (by aminoacyl-tRNA synthetases). tRNAs cope with the degeneracy of the genetic code in two manners: having more than one tRNA (with a specific anti-codon) for a particular amino acid; and 'wobble' base-pairing, i.e. permitting non-standard base-pairing at the 3rd anti-codon position. Lineage: Bacteria; Bacillati; Chloroflexota; Caldilineae; Caldilineales; Caldilineaceae. The record is from RNAcentral.